Long non-coding RNA from Bombus terrestris (buff-tailed bumblebee), 5965 nucleotides. RefSeq lists it as uncharacterized. The transcript is spliced from 3 exons. The record is from RefSeq and is a predicted model, not a curated record. NCBI's taxonomy places the organism in Eukaryota, Metazoa, Arthropoda, Insecta, Hymenoptera, Apidae.
UAUUGUAUUAAAGUUAAAUGAAAUACGAUACAAUACAAUAAAAAUUGAAAUUAAUCCGCUAACUGGAGAAGAUGCGAUUGAUUCGUCAUUUGGAUAAUAAUUCUUUUAUUUAGAGGUAUCGUUUCAUGUAAAAAGUGUUUAAACUUCAUACUUAGAUUUCUGUUUAAAGGGCAACUUCAUUUAUUUUCAUUUGCAUUAUAUUUUAGUUAUAUUAUAUUGUAUUUCGUUUAAUUUUAGUUUAUAUCGUGUUAUAAUUGAUUUCGCUUGAAUUGUAUUGUAUCGUAUUUCAUUUAUUCUGAAUUAGAUUAUAUUUUGUGUUUCGAGUUCUGGCUGAAUAAUAUAAUAAUGUUGCUUGAUUGAGUUGUAACUCUGAAACACCUUGUAUAUCACGUGGAACGAGAAUUUACGAUUCAACGAACACGUUGAAUCGAGACGAAUUCAGCUAAACUCAAUAAAAAGGAGACGUGGAAAGAUCGGUCGGCCGAAUGCGGAGGCGUCUGCCUGUUCCUUCUCCAAGAAAAUUUGAUUGAUGAAGGAAUUGAUCUUCCCUUUUUGUUUCAUGAUUGAUAAGAUGUUUUAACCGAUGGGACUCAUGCACGAGAAAUUUUAGUGUAAAAGUGCCUCGAGGUGGAUUUUGAUGGAUAGAAGAUUACAUCAUAACGUUAUCAGGAAAUUAAUAAGAAACGUCAAGAUAUUAUUUCUUAGAAAAAUUUGAAAAUCUCUUCCGAGGAAAAGAGAAUUUUCAAAAGAUAAAUUAUAUAUUACAAAAAACUGAUAAGAACCAGCAGGAAAUUAAUUUUCAAAGAAACAAGAAAAUUGUUAACUGACGAAGAAAAGACUUUGAGUAGUUACUUGGUGCAAUAUCCUUGAGAAAUUAAUAAACGUUCUUAAAAAUUAUUUUUUUUUUUUACGGAAGAUAGAAGAUUGACUGCGGGGAAAAUAUAAAACAUCACAUUACAAUAUUCCUUAGAAAAAUAAUUAAGAAAGAAAUUAAUAAAUUGGUAAUGGAUAAAAGGACUUUGCGAGGUUCGCCAAAAGUGUAAUUUAAAAUUUAAAUUCUUUUCUUUUUGAGAUACACAUAUAUAGAUUAUACUUGUAGUAUUCAUUAACUAUUCAUAUUAUAUCUGUAAUUUGAUCGUGCAAGGAUAAGAAUUAAUAGAAUCGGUUACGUAUUUCCAAGAAUUUCUUCUACUUGCUUUAUUAACACUUUAUGCAUAUUUCAAAUGUGAGAUAGUAAAUAACAUUCAAGUAAAUAGCUGUACCAUAGGUACAUAAGAGUCGAUAUUUCGUUCUACGCUCGAUUUCCUUUAUCGCAGAUGGCGUAACCAUUUCCUGUAACAUUCUCGAGCUAUUCGAGAUGCAAGAUGCAACUACGCGAUCGGUCCGAGCAUCUGUUGUCAGGUGGUAAACGCGAAGGAAUCGCAAUCCUCCGGGGAUAGGCCAGUUUAAUUGGAAUUGAUGCUGCAAGCCCAGCGCUACAAUCGACACAGCUCUAACGCGCGUAACUAAUUAACACGCCGGAGAUAAUCCAAGUGAAUCGCGUCUAAGCAAUAGCUCCCCCGUGAUGUAGUCGAUCGUACCACAAUAGAGGUUAUGAGAGCGCCAGAAAUCGAACGUACCAAUUUAUCUCGUGAGCCGAUCUAUUCGAUCAGGACUAUGCGUUAUGUAUUCGCGAAGAUGUUUUGAUAUUGUACGAGGGGAAAAGCGAGCGGGAACAGACGAAUCGACCAGCAACGAGGGGAAACGUUCGCGUGGAUCGGGCCGCUGGUGGAGAUAACGAGCUGCGGUACGCGGAAAACAGGAAGUUGGCAUGAAAAAGUAGAUACAAAAUGAACUGUAGAUGCCACAAUAAGGUAUUACAGAAAUGAUGGAAAGAAGAAAGGAAAAAUUAAACGAUGACGAUGGCAGAGGAACAAACGAGAGAUGUAGCGGUGCGCUGGAAGUUAACAAGAAAAAUGGCUAGUUGUUUCUUGAAUCUUCCGCGGUAAUAGAUGACGGAGGAUUAAAUCCCAAGACUAUCCGGUUUAUCUUUUUGCUAGGUAAGUCGAGUCCCAUUUGUUUCCCUCGCCUAGGUGGAUUGAAUUCGCCAAGUUUAGUGUAGAAAGGUGAGUUAAGUUUUAUUUAUAUAGAAAGGCACUCUGUUAACAUUAAGAUUUAAAAAGAAUAAGCAUAGUAUAUAAAAUUGUAAUCUAAAAUACAAUUUUCUUGGAUAGUAUUAUUGGUAAAGGCCAAUAUAUAAUAUUCAAAUAUUCCCGAAACAAAACCAAGGAGUAUACCGCUGCUUGGCAUUGAUAGCGGCACGCCUUAAAAAAACGUACAUUUUAAAGGAUAGUCAUUUUAAAAUUUAUGUCUUUGGAAAUACAGAAUACAGGGCUUAUUAAUCUAACAGCUCCUGAACAGAUCGUCGUCAUUAUUAUUAUUAUCAAUAUCAUUACUAUAAUAUUGCCGAAACAAAAUUUAUUCCGUUUCAAUAAAAUUCAAAUUUCUGCCACUGAUCCACACAGUUUAUCCUAAAGAAUAAGCAAAAAGCAAAUUAAAAACGCAUCUAGAAACAAGUAGUACCUAUACAUAGAAGCGAUUAGGACGAAUGGUUUAAUAAAGAAUUCACGAAUAUUUAUAUCCGACCAGUUCGUUUUAUUUUUACUCGUAAAACACAGGGUCGGGAAAGUUUGUGCGGAAAAAUUUAUGGCACGCCCUGUAUAAAUAAAUUAAGAGGGAUCAGGAGGGGGUAGUUUGCGCCGUCCGGAAGUUUUCGGUCGCAGACAGCCCAGCGAUACGAUAGGAUUUCCAACGUAUCGCGCGAUAUAUAGACCUGCCCUUAACUUUUGAACGUUUCGAGGCUAGGUUCUCGCGUAACAUCCACCUUUGGCGACGCCUUUCACGGCGAGCGCAUUCGAACGGAAAGAAUGGUAGAAACUCGAUAAAACGCCGCGAGAAAAUAUUUUCGAACGACACGGUUUUCCAUUCUGACCACCCUACUUUAUUCCGAUCGAACCACCCUCCACGUCGGCUCGUAACUUUCCUCAUUUCCUUGCGUCGUCGAAACUGUGUUCGCGGUAACGCUUCGAAAUAAUGUUCCCUUCGUCGAUUAACUUCUUGAUUUUACUGGGAAUUUUCUUUAUGGAGGUGUUUCAAGAGAAUUAUUUCGAGAACGAAAGGAAAGUUCUUGAAGGAUAUUGGAGACGAAGAUGGAGGUUUGCGACGCGAAACUUAGAUUCAAGGAGUUCGUUUCGCGAUCGUCAGCCCCCGGAACGAUGGAAAAUAAAAAUUGGAUGUAUUUUUAUGCUGUUUUAUUCAACUGCGCACCAAAAUAGAUCGAAUAAAUUCUUUUUUUAGUAGGCAUUGAAAUUGUUAGUACAAAUACAUACAAUUUUAUUUAAGGGUUCCUGAUUGGUUUAAACGUUGCACGUAUUUUUAAAACGAAUAGGACAAACGGAUUUUCAACGUUCGAAUAUUUCGAAAUAUUUGAAUAUUACGUGACCGUGGUCAAAAUACGCAGUUUUAGUUGCAAACUAAUACACGCUACGGUCAUUUUUCUACGAAAUCUACGUAAAGCUCGAAUAAAUCUUUCGAAUUAAAAUUUUGCGCCAAAAAUGUUCCUUUCUUCUUAAAAUAAUUCGCAAUAAGCACUUCCAUAAAAGAAUCCUUGAUAAAAUCAAGUGUUCGAUUGACUAACGCAUAUUGUAAUCUGCGAGAAGCCUGUGUGGCAUCUCUUACUUGUAAAAAAAAUCCAUUGUCUCGUUCAUUCAGGUAGAUGGUAUAGGCAAAAGUCAAGAAACAAUUAACCGAUGUUUAUUGGCAUUUAUAUUCUUCUCUACACAGCUGACGAUAAACACACCAACGACACCAUCUUCUAACAUUAUUAAUAAAUAUUUAAGAAGAUAAAUUGCGCUUAAAUUCUAUAUUACAUUCUGUAUUCUCUUUGCUACGGAAAACAUUUCCUAGUAAAAGCGCAAAAUUUUCCAACUGUGGCACUUACAGUGCUUUCUAAGAGCAUUCUUCAAUUUAAUCUUCUAUCUAAUCUUUCGUUUAAUUUUAACUUAAUUUUCUAAAAUUAAAUACCGAGCAUUAAAUUCUUCUAAACCCUCUUUAAUUUAUCCUGGCGGAAAUUUAAACGCCACAUGGAAAUCAUCUAACCACGGAAAAACAGAAAGGUGAUUAUAGACGUACAAUAUUUUUCUUCGCAGGUUGGAGGAUUUUUGUAACGUAACUUUCGGUCGCGAUUCUCGUCGCACUUUCAAAGCGGUUAAGGCUCGGCCGACGAUUUUUUGGUCAUGAAAAAAGAGAGAGAGAAAGAGAGAGAGAGAUAGUAGGGGAGAAAAGAAAGGAUGGCAGGACAAAAGGUAGAAAAAGGGAUGAAAGCGUGGGAAAAAGAGGGGUGAAAAAAAGAAAAACAACGAGCGACCACGCGACGAACAAUGGCGUAAUGAAGAGUCCGCGCUUUACGCGCGCGAUACCCGCCCGUGAAAGCCGUAAGAGGAUUUUCGUUCAGUCGGGAAAAAUGCCUGGCCAGAAAUUCAAUAUUCAGCCUGCUCUUUGUUCUCAUUAAGGGACGAACAACGUCAGUUGUAAUUAAGGUGAAAACUGUGAGAAUCGCGAACGUAAAUAGGCUUUCUGAUAAACUUCGUUUUCGAAACGAGUCGCUUUACUUCUUCCAUGGUUUCACCCUUGUCUUUACGAUCUUUUUCUUUUUGCGAUAAAUGGUGGUUUGUGGAUGAUCGAAUUAGUCGCUAUUAGUUAUCGCAUUACGCGCAGAAAGAUUUCGCAGUCUACAAAGAUCGAUAUAAUAUAGCGUUAAUGUACUUUCAUACGACGAGAACGAUUUAACGCUAUGAAAAUAAAACGUAGAAGCGGAGAAAAAAAGAAACUCUUAAUAAGAAUACGUAGAAAUAUUUUUGACAACUAUCGCACGUAUUAAACUUUCAAAUGGUCGAUCCACGAUUUUUGGAAUUUUCCACAAUUGGCAAACUAUUUUCCUACUAUUUUUAAAAUUCCAUAACUCAUAGCACGUUAUAUCAACUAUUUAUCAUACAAUUCCUCUGGCAUUCCUUACUUCCAUAAAAAUUCUUUCUUCCCUAUCUCGAAGAAAAUAAAAUAAAACAGAGAAUCUGAAAUAUCCGAUUAGCCGUCUUUUUCCUACCGGCAUCGCCAUUCGACGAAUUCUUCAGAACCGAUCGAUUAUUUCGAAUUGAUGAGACGUUGAAUGCUCGUGGAAAGCUCGUCCACCGUUAAUGGAGUAGCGUAAAUAAAUAAGACGAAAGAUACGGCUGGAUCCCGUGGAUGAGGAAUCUUAAUGCCUGGCCCAUCGAAACGUUUGCUCUUCGCUGUUGUCGAUCGAUCGAGGAGCAUCUUGAAAGAUUUAACGAUCUCGCGGAGUGAGAAGGAUCGAGAAGUGUUAAAAGUCUCUCGAAAUGUUGCAGGAUGAGGGAAAAGGAGAGAGGGUAAGAAAGGGUUGGUGAAAUAGAUGGAUGGAAUAAGGCAUGGCAACACGCAACAGGCAAUCAGGUCAAGUUGAGAUGUUUCAAAAGUUCAAGAGCCUCGAACUUCCGGUAAACUGGUGUUCAAGAAAGGAAAAGACACGUAGAUACGUACAAUAUUUACGUGAGACGUAGCCAUGGGAUCAACUUGAAUAUGCACUUAUAAAUCCGAAUCGAAUCCGACAUGGAAGGUCCACUGCGUAGGGUUAUAGGGAUACUAUUCGUAUCUUUACUGUAAAUUUUUAUGAAAUUUCGUAUUUUCAUUGGACAGAACCGAAGAAACGCAACUCGCAGAGAAAUUUGUUUCAUCGGCUAAACAUUCUAAAGAGUACGAAAGACAAAUAGCUUAUAUAAGUUAGCUUACAUAAAUUGACGUUUAGAUAGAUAAUAAAUGUUUCAAAUAAGGAACGAUACUCGAACUCUAUGAUUGAAUGUAACAACGGCCAAUGAUAGUUGACACUUGUGAAAUAUAUCAAUUUGGAAAAGAA